CCUCGAGUGCGGCCUAUAAAUAAACCUCCUUCCUGGCAGCUUCCUCGAAGCCCCUUGCUCUCUUUCCUGGCAGCUUCGUCCUCCCCUGUCUCACUCAGUUCGAUUCCUUUUUCUCUUUUAUCAGAGUUUAGAAGCCGAUGAUUUAGACGCUUGAAUCUCUCACCGUUCUUUUAUACAUAUGCUAUCGCUCGAUUUGUGUAGACUUUUGCAAGGGUUCGUGCGAUCGAUUGAUGAUGUAUGUUGUCUUUUUGUUUUUGCUUUAACGAAGUUUAUGUUUAAGUGGAGCUAUUUACCAUUUGAACCCAUCAUUUCAUCAUUGAAACAUGUUGCCUAUAAUGAAGGCAAAACUUUCGCUCCCCAGACCCUACAAUUUCAAUGUUGAUGAUGUUCAUCGGCAAUCGUAAGAUUUCUAGAGAGUUGAAGCAAGUGAUCGCGCGAUGAUAGCCCGUUGCUCCAUAUUUCAUAUACUUUAACAACUGUUUGCAUAUUAAUCAAUAUAUUGGUUUUUUUAAUGAAUUAAUGUUUAUUUAUGGCUAUAUAUUCCAUCGUCUUCGUGAUAAA
Theobroma cacao (cacao) is the source of this 561-nucleotide non-coding RNA. The record is from RefSeq and is a predicted model, not a curated record. NCBI's taxonomy places the organism in Eukaryota, Viridiplantae, Streptophyta, Magnoliopsida, Malvales, Malvaceae.